AGCACUUUGUAUGUUUAUUCAACUGGUGGACAAAGGCAUGAAAGACAAAUGCAAAAUUAGAUCCUCUUUUACAAUCCAGAACUCAUUGUUCAGUACGAGUUUUAACACACACAAGAAGAACUAUG
Molecule: small nucleolar RNA, 125 nt
Organism: Nannospalax galili (Upper Galilee mountains blind mole rat)
Lineage: Eukaryota; Metazoa; Chordata; Mammalia; Rodentia; Spalacidae
Source: Ensembl